GGGGCUAAACCAUGCACCGAAGCUGCGGCAGCGACACUAUGUGUUGUUGGGUAGGGGAGCGUUCUGUAAGCCUGCGAAGGUGUACUGUGAGGUAUGCUGGAGGUAUCAGAAGUGCGAAUGCUGACAUAAGUAACGAUAAUGCGGGUGAAAAAACCCGCACGCCGGAAGACCAAGGGUUCCUGUCCAACGUUAAUCGGGGCAGG
This 203-nucleotide ribosomal RNA is filed under the name Shigella sp. FC1967. RNAcentral describes it as "partial 23S ribosomal RNA". It matches the Rfam family "Bacterial large subunit ribosomal RNA", at positions 1177 to 1378 of the family's 2925-position model. Lineage: Bacteria; Pseudomonadati; Pseudomonadota; Gammaproteobacteria; Enterobacterales; Enterobacteriaceae. The record is from RNAcentral.